RNAcentral lists this small RNA (861 nucleotides) under Pongo abelii (Sumatran orangutan). RNAcentral describes it as "processed transcript". Lineage: Eukaryota; Metazoa; Chordata; Mammalia; Primates; Hominidae. The record is from RNAcentral.
UUUACACCUUAUCUGCCCAAAAACAUCCUCUGAAGCCUCUCUAACCCAGGGAUCCUCCUUACUCCUCCCCUACCCAUUCCCCCCACCCUCCAUCAUACUAGGGCCAGUUCUCUAGUAGAUACUGCCAAUUACCCUUGGCAGAGGUGCCCUGCUCACUGAUUUCAUUUGAGGGAGAGCCCUGGAACCUGGUUUUAAUGUCUGGCACACGCCACUCCAGGAUCUCCCAGUUUGUGUUUCUACAUCUGCAGGCUGAUGCUGAUUUCUAACCACCCCAUGUCAAUCAUUUUAGUUUGUGGGCAUCACCUAUGCCCUGACCGUUGUGUGGCUCCUGGUGUUUGCCUGCUCUGCUGUGCCUGUGUAUAUUUACUUCAACACCUGGACCACCUGCCAGUCUAUUGCCUUCCCCAGCAAGACCUCUGCCAGUAUAGGCAGUCUCUGUGCUGAUGCCAGAAUGUAUGGUGUUCUCCCAUGGAAUGCUUUCCCUGGCAAGGUUUGUGGCUCCAACCUUCUGUCCAUCUGCAAAACAGCUGAGUUCCAAAUGACCUUCCACCUGUUUAUUGCUGCAUUUGUGGGGGCUGCAGCUACACUGGUUUCCCUGCUCACCUUCAUGAUUGCUGCCACUUACAACUUUGCCGUCCUUAAACUCAUGGGCCGAGGCACCAAGUUCUGAUCCCCUGUAGAAAUCCCCCUUUCUCUAAUAGCGAGGCUCUAACCACACAGCCUACAAUGCUGCGUCUCCCAUCUUAACUCUUUGCCUUUGCCACCAACUGGCCCUCUUCUUACUUGACGAGUGUAACAAGAAAGGAGAGUCUUGCAGUGAUUAAGGUCUCUCUUUGGACUCUCCCCUCUUAUGUACCUCUU